UCCGUCAAUUCAUUUGAGUUUCACCGUUGCCGGCGUACUCCCCAGGUGGAAUACUUAACGCUUUCGCUGUGCCACUCAAGGCUCAUUUGCCCCGAACAGCUAGUAUUCAUCGUUUACUGCGUGGACUACCAGGGUAUCUAAUCCUGUUCGAUACCCACGCUUUCGUGCUUCAGCGUCAGUUGGGCGCCGGUAUGCUGCCUUCGCAAUCGGAGUUCUGCGUGAUAUCUAUGCAUUUCACCGCUACACCACGCAUUCCGCAUACUUCUCGCCCACUCAAGAACGCCAGUUUCAACGGCGGAGCGAGGUUGAGCCCCGCGAUUUUACCGCUGACUUGGCAUUCCGCCUACGCACCCUUUAAACCCAAUAAAUCCGGAUAACGCUCGCAUCCUCCGUAUUACCG
RNAcentral lists this unclassified non-coding RNA (400 nucleotides) under uncultured fungus. Its description in RNAcentral is "sequence contains ITS1". The record is from RNAcentral. Lineage: Eukaryota; Fungi.